CGGCGAGUGAAGCGGCAACAGCUCAAAUUUGAAAUCUGGCCUUCGGGUCCGAGUUGUAAUUUGUAGAGGAUGCUUUUGGCGCGGUGCCUUCCGAGUUCCCUGGAACGGGACGCCUUAGAGGGUGAGAGCCCCGUACGGUUGGACACCAAGCCUCUGUAAAGCUCCUUCGACGAGUCGAGUAGUUUGGGAAUGCUGCUCUAAAUGGGAGGUAAAUUUCUUCUAAAGCUAAAUAUUGGCCAGAGACCGAUAGCGCACAAGUAGAGUGAUCGAAAGAUGAAAAGCACUUUGAAAAGAGGGUUAAAUAGCACGUGAAAUUGUUGAAAGGGAAGCGUUUGCGACCAGACCUUUUCCCGGUGGAUUCGUCCGCCGGGUUGAGGCCAGCAUCGGUUUCUGCAGGGGGAUAAAAAUAGGGGGAAUGUAGCUCCCUCGGGAGUGUUAUAGCCCCCUAUAUAAUACCCUUGCGGGGACCGAGGACCGCGCUUCGGCAAGGAUGCUGGCGUAAUGGUCGUCAACGACCCGUCUUGAAACACGGACCAAGGAGUCGAACAUUUGUGCGAGUGUUAGGGUGUUAAACCCUCACGCGUAAUGAAAGUGAACGGAGGUGAGAGCCCUUACGGGUGCAUCAUCGACCGAUCCUGAUGUCUUCGGAUGGAUUUGAGUAAGAGCAUA
RNAcentral lists this ribosomal RNA (669 nucleotides) under Xylariales sp. TK32. RNAcentral's name for it is "eukaryotic LSU rRNA". It matches the Rfam family "Eukaryotic large subunit ribosomal RNA", at positions 87 to 804 of the family's 3401-position model. The record is from RNAcentral. Lineage: Eukaryota; Fungi; Ascomycota; Sordariomycetes; Xylariales.